GAAGCUGUACCAGCUCAGACUUCAGCCCAGGCUGCUCAUACCGUCCAAAGGCUUUGGGUGCUUCUCAGCUGAAGUCUAGUUUGAGUUUUGUUGUGAAGCACCGGAUUCAUUCAUACAUCAAAGGGAACCUAAGGCAUCAGAGCCCACAUAGACAGAAAACAAAGGCACUGUUUACAAGGCGGAAACUUGCUGAGAGAAGCAGCUGAGUUUUGCAAGGCUCACCCACUGACUGCCACCUUGGAGAGUGCCUUGGACUGCAGAAGUACAGUGGACUUCCAGUCCUCCAGUCCUUCACAAAACUUGGAGGAGCCCCUUGUCAGCGAGAAACUUUGACAGCUAUCACAGAACCCUGGCUACCUCUGUGUGUAAGUGACUUCUUGUGGUAUCACAGCAGACAUUUCUUCAAGGAGAUAUUCAGAAAAGAAAAGCACUUCACAUGUUCAUUAAACUACAGCAUUUUACUAGAAAAGC
This is a long non-coding RNA of Pipra filicauda (Wire-tailed manakin), 471 nucleotides long. RefSeq lists it as uncharacterized. The record is from RefSeq and is a predicted model, not a curated record. NCBI's taxonomy places the organism in Eukaryota, Metazoa, Chordata, Aves, Passeriformes, Pipridae. The transcript has 4 exons.